Molecule: non-coding RNA, 73 nt
Organism: Heteronotia binoei (common prickly gecko)
Lineage: Eukaryota; Metazoa; Chordata; Lepidosauria; Squamata; Gekkonidae
Source: the annotation of a RefSeq genome assembly
GUGUGGCUCAGUGGUAGAGCAUCUGCUUGUGAAGCAGAAGGUCCUACCGUAGGUUCAAUCCCCAGCAUCUCCA